AUUGAACGCUGGCGGCAGGCCUAACACAUGCAAGUCGAGCGGAUGAAGGGAGCUUGCUCCUGGAUUCAGCGGCGGACGGGUGAGUAAUGCCUAGGAAUCUGCCUGGUAGUGGGGGAUAACGUCCGGAAACGGGCGCUAAUACCGCAUACGUCCUGAGGGAGAAAGUGGGGGAUCUUCGGACCUCACGCUAUCCGAUGAGCCUAGGUCGGAUUAGCUAGUUGGUGGGGUAAAGGCCUACCAAGGCGACGAUCCGUAACUGGUCUGAGAGGAUGAUCAGUCACACUGGAACUGAGACAAGGUCCAGACUCCUACGGGAGGCAGCAGUGGGGAAUAUUGGACAAUGGGCGAAAGCCUGAUCCAGCCAUGCCGCGUGUGUGAAGAAGGUCUUCGGAUUGUAAAGCACUUUAAGUUGGGAGGAAGGGCAGUAAGUUAAUACCUUGCUGUUUUGACGUUACCAACAGAAUAAGCACCGGCUAACUUCGUG
RNAcentral lists this ribosomal RNA (484 nucleotides) under uncultured bacterium. RNAcentral describes it as "partial 16S ribosomal RNA". It matches the Rfam family "Bacterial small subunit ribosomal RNA", at positions 30 to 507 of the family's 1533-position model. The record is from RNAcentral.